ACAAAACGAACCUUUUUUUUUGGUUUGCAGGUUGUGGCCGGUUACGGAGAAUCGGUUUCGGGAAAAAGAGGGGAGAUUCCGGUACAAUUAAGUCGGUUCUGGAGAAUAGGAAGGUGGAAUGAGGAGGAGAAGACGAAACCGGAGAGAAUCGGAGGAGGAGAUGCAAUGUCUGGGGAAAUUAGAGCCGGGCCGUUUAGGGUUCGAAGGGGAAAAAAUAGGUUUGGCAGCUUUUCUGGUUUACGAUGAGACGAGAUGUCCUUUAUACAAUACAUCUACCAAACUCUUUUAUUUUUUGCUUAAGUUUGUUUUCCGUUUCUUUUUUUUUUCUAUUAAUUCCUAAAUUACCAAAACGCCGUCGUUUUGUUUUUAGGGUAUUUUUCUUGCUAAACGACGUCGUUUGUCUUGUUCUUCGACUUGGAUCGGAACCUCGUCUUCGUUGUUUGUCUCUGAUCUCGUUGCUUCUCCAACGUAGAACAGUGUUGAAGCUGAAGUUUUUGUUUACUUAGAUCGGAGAAACGUCUUCUUGUCUGAAAAAGUAAAUCAAAGUUUGAUAUACUUUAUAGACACUUUUUCUUGCUUUCGUUGAGGCAUUUCGUCGAACACUUAGACGACGCUGAGACGAGAUGUCCUUUAUACCAUCUACCAAACUCUUUUAUUUUUGCUAAAGUUUGUUUUCCGUUUCUUUUUUUUUCUAUUAAUUCCUAAAUUGCGAAAACGCCGUCGUUUUAUUUUUAGGGUAUUUUUCUUGCUAAACGACAUCGUUUGUCUUCUUCUUCGACUUGGAUCGGAAACUCGUACUCGUCUUAGUUUUCUCUGAUCUCGUUGCUUCUCCAACGUAGAACAGUGUUGAAGAUGAGGUUUUUGUGUACUUAGAUCUCCAAUAUACUUUCUGUCGGAGAACUUCUUCUUGCCCUGAAAAAGUAAUAAAAAUUUGAUAUACUUAAAUCCAAUUUCGUCGAACACUUAGACGUCGCUCUCGUUUUUGUCUCCAGGAUCGUUAUUGUUGCCACAAUCGAAGCCUUGAAAUGGAAAAGCUUAUUGAGAACCAUCAGUUUGCGACGCAUGCUAUCGCCGCAUCGGCCUCUGUCUCGCUAGGAACUGCGCUCGCUUACCCUCUAGAUACCAUCAAAACCAUUAUCCAGGUUUCUUUCUUCUUCUUCUUAGCCAACUUUUUCAUCUAUCGCUUUGAACUCUCCGGGGGGGAUUGAUGUCUGCAAUUGAAAAUGCAGGUUGGUUCAGGACCCAGUAAGAAACUAAGCCCAUCUCAAGUCGUCAACAGAGUUUUCCGCUUCUCUGGCUAUUCAGGUUUCGCAAAAGUUAUUCUUUUGAAUGUUGCUUCAGGCAAAAAUGAUGUAUUGUUUGAUUGGUUCCGUCUUUUUGAACACAAAUGCAGGUUUGUACAGUGGUCUUGGAUGGUUAACACUUGGAAGAAUCUCAGGUGUUGGUGCAAGGUUCGGUGUCUAUGAGAUUCUCACGGCUUUUUAUAAAGGUAUUACGCAGAUCCAUGUCUCUUUUAAUGCUUAAUGUGUAUGAUUCAAGUGUAGGUUUUGCAUCUUGAACUUCUGUCAAGAACGCAGUCUGUUAAAGAUCCAUCUCUCUUUCUGCAUUUGUUCAUAGAGUCAACUGAUUUCAGGAAGACUGUCUUUUCAGGACAGUAAACCAAAAAGUUAAGGACUUUAAGGCCCUUAUGAUCAGAGCUCAACUCCUCGACCAGAACGGAACAGCCUGUCCUCUUCCACAUCGCUUUGCAAUCUUCAACUUCUCUAGUUGUUUCCUCUACACAACUCUUCAGUAUCCAACCUCGAAGGUCAUCGUGCGUUGGUGCAGACACUCCGUAUCCUCCAGAGGCAAUGGCAUCGAUCAUCGGCUGGAGAUUAGCAGAGUUCACCGCAUCGAAAUCAGCUCCGAUACCAAACAGAAACCGUCCAACCGCCAUGUGAACGGCGUUCUCCCUAUCUUUAGAAGCUGGGUGCACAAUGUUCUUCACGCUGCUAAUCGCCACGGGGACCAAAUUGGUGUCCAUGUCUGUACCAAUCAAGCCAUUGUUGUUGCUCGAACUGCCAUUCUCUAAAAAAGCAGCCUUCUUUCUCCUGUAGGGCCUCUGCUUCGUUCUGCCCUCGUUUUGCACGACUACAUCAGUACUCUCCGGCGAGGUGAAACCGUUGUUGGCAUCAGACUGAACCACCAUCAUCAUCGGCUCAGCUUCACAAGGAGGCAAAGCAGGCAAAGACUCAGGCUCAGCUGAGGUGGAAUGGCGUCUCUUCCUCUGACGUCUCACGGUUCCUUCGAUGCACUGCCGCAAGAAGAGCCUAACAUCUUCCGGGACUUGGUCGCAGAUCACGCCUUGUCCCUUGAUGCCAGCGAGAUGCUCCUUGACCCUCGUGAUACCGCCGCCUUUGAACAUUUUGCGACAGUAGAGGCACCUCAUCUGGAGCCGGUCGCCGUAUUUGUAGAUUUCACAGUGCUUCCACGCAUUGUCUUGCUUCUGAGGUGUAAGAGCUACAGGUUCCAACUCCGGCUCCAUUUUGGUUAAGCCUGAGUUUCAUCGGAAGAAGAAAGCAAAAGGCAGAGACUUUGUUAAUGGGUAAUGAAAGAUUAAAGCUUUUUCGGGAAUUAAAAAUAAAAAAAACGUAACGAAGAUAACAAAGAUCCUAUCACAACCCUGAUGAAUAUUUCAAGAAAUCAAAAGACGAAUUCUAAAACCUCUUCCCCAUGCAACACCGGCCAGAUAACAGAAUUUGGAUUAAGACAAAAACCGAUGUAAGAAGAAGGAACAAAACGAACCUUUUUUUUUGGUUUGCAGGUUGUGGCCGGUUACGGAGAAUCGGUUUCGGGAAAAAGAGGGGAGAUUCCGGUACAAUUAAGUCGGUUCUGGAGAAUAGGAAGGUGGAAUGAGGAGGAGAAGACGAAACCGGAGAGAAUCGGAGGAGGAGAUGCAAUGUCUGGGGAAAUUAGAGCCGGGCCGUUUAGGGUUCGAAGGGGAAAAAAUAGGUUUGGCAGCUUUUCUGGUUUACGAUGAGACGAGA
Molecule: long non-coding RNA, 3026 nt
Filed under: Brassica napus (rape)
Lineage: Eukaryota; Viridiplantae; Streptophyta; Magnoliopsida; Brassicales; Brassicaceae
Description: long non-coding RNA (BNAP_LNC000413)
Source: RNAcentral